GAAACCUGGCAAGUGGGUCAUCCUGGCCGUUCCCCAGCAGCAGGCCCUCCCCCGCCUUCGCCUCCAGCCCUCCCGAGGAGCUCAAGGCCUCGGCCCCAGCUGGGCGGACUCGCUGGAGGGUCGGCGCCCCGGGCUGGGCUGAGUCGGGCCAGGCCGGUGGAUGUGCCUCGGCGCUCCGCCCGCCGGCUGCUCUUGCCCGCGCGUGGCCACCCGUCUGCGGCGCUGUUGGCCCUCCCGCCACCCCCUCGGCGGGGCCCUUUCCUUUACUAUGGUAAUAGUGACAUUCAGCGGGAAAGGCUAGCGCAGACCGCGGCGCCCCGGCUCCCGGGCGCGGGAGGCUCGGUCGGCGGUCGAGCUGCGCGCACCUCGCACCGCGGGGCUGCGGCGGCCGGGCUGCAGGCGCGCUCCCCCCCACCCCGCCCGCCGCGCUCGCCCCCGGCUGCUGCGGGGCGGCCCCGAGCCCCGGUCCGCGCUGGCCCGCCAGCUGCGGGCAGGACCUCGCCGCUCGGACUCCUGCGCCGGGGAAGGACGGAUCCAGCGCUUGGAGGGAGAUCCCGCCUCACUGCUCGUAUAUGGCAAAGUUUCUUGCCGAGCUCCUGGGCUGCACGUUGCCGAGCAAGGGCGCCUCUCCCAUGUUUGAGUCCAAAAGUCACUCCCGAGUUGUCCUGAAAUCAAGCACCAAGCAAAAGACCACCGUUUUCAGCACAAGGGCCAGUGAGAAGUCCUCAUCUGACUGCAAAAAGAACAACAGCACUAACAGCUAUGAGUUGGCAGGGGAGACCCAGAAAACACUUGAUCUCUUCCAAGUUUUAUUCUUGUUGCUGAUCCGUUUGCAUCAAGUUUCAUCAGGUGGCCCAGAAAAUUCAAGUUGAUACCGUGAUUUCAGCCUCAUGAUGUUGAUAUUGGACUUCUGGCCCCCAGAACUGAACAGCAAUGGAAACUUUCAAUGUACAACAGCAUAACUCCAGUCUGCUUUACGAGCCCUCUGAUUGAGAAACCAGUUGGCAAACUGGGGGGAAACUGAGGCUUCACGAGGUUACACAAAUGCCCAACAUCACACAGCUGGUAAUUUGGAAAAUUCAGGGAGAGUCAGAAGGAAUCAAAAACUUCCACAGUCCAGUGAUAAACACAAUCUGCAGUUAACAUAUUGGUGUAUUUUCUUCCUCCUUAUGCAUACAUUUUUGUUAUAUAAUUUAAGAUUAUACAACAUAUGCAAUUUUCUAUUCAGUAAGUUUUAACUUCACAUUAUUGCAUGAGCAUUUUGCAAUGUUAUUCCAUAGAUUUCAAAAAUCUCAAUUUUUUAAUUGAGGUAUAAUUGACAUAAAGAUUAUAUUAGUUUCAGGUAGACAACAUAAUAUCAAAAAUCCUAAUAAAUAAUAUUUGAGGGUAUCUCUAUAUUUUUACCAACAAAUCAACCCUGAGUGUUUUGGUUGUUUCUAAAUUUAGUCAUUAUAAAUGAUGCUAAAAUAAAUAAUGAACAUACUUAUACGUAGAUCUGUGUUUCUCUGAUUUUUUCUUUAUAAUUAUUCCUAGAAAUGGCAAAGGUGAGAAACUUUUAAAAUUUCACAAUAUGUAUUGCUUUGGUGCAUUUCAAAAAGUUUGUCUAUGUUUCCACUAGCAUUACAUAAGAAUGCCAAUCACCCUGUACGUCCAGCAGCAUUGAAUAUGAUAAUUUUUAAUCUUUGUAGAUUAAAUCAUGUUGUCUCAUUGUUUUUGCUAUUUGUUUACUAGUGGGAUUAAUUUUUUCCUCUAUCCAUUUGUUGUUUAUA
Manis pentadactyla (Chinese pangolin) is the source of this 1769-nucleotide RNA transcript. RefSeq lists it as uncharacterized. The transcript is spliced from 8 exons. Lineage: Eukaryota; Metazoa; Chordata; Mammalia; Pholidota; Manidae. The record is from RefSeq and is a predicted model, not a curated record.